GGGUCCCAGGAGCCACACAGAGAGCCGGUGAAAUGGAGAAGGUUCCAGAGGGUAUUCCAUGCCAAAGGGAACCUGCAAAGCAGGUGGGCCGGGAGUACGCAGGUCCUUGUGUAGCAGAAAGCGAGUGAGGGGAGGAGGGAAGACAUGACAUGACACUGACUCGUUAAGAGGCUGGCACUGCCUGCCGCCUGCUAAUUUAUGCAAAUGAAGGUUGCUGACUCCUGGGAGCUGGGAUGUUGGGGGGUGGGUGCUGUCAGAGUUUGGCUGGCAGCCAACGGCGUGCAGUAAAAACGGUGCCGCUGCUGUGGUGGUGGUGACGGCUCGUAGGGCUUGAAAGUUUGGCAGAGCGCCGUGCCGGAACAGCGUACCCCGUUAGUUGCCUGGCAAGGCGGGCAGAGAAGCGACCAAUCAGGGGCACGCUGCCUCCUCUACCCUGGCCGAAUGGCAUCGCCCUCACAGCCCUCCCCUUGCUCGCGCUCCUCCUCUCCACCCCGUCGCUCCAGUUGCCCGGGAUGAUUUUAUAAACAUUUUGCCAGCCGAUCAAUAGCCGUAUUGAUCAGGCAUUGUGAGAGUGAUCCGUCUAAAACCCCCAGCAGCCUGAAGCUCUAAGAGAGGGAGGAGCGAGGGAAAGGGAGAGAGAGGCUGCAGAGAGGACGAGGAAAGGAGAGAGAGGCUGCAGCCACAGAAGAGAGAGGUAGAGGGGAGAGAAGGGGAGAUCUCACAGAGAGGCAGAAGGAGGCAGUGCUGAAGGUAAAGCAGUGUGGUGUGGACGUACAGAAGUGAGCAGGAGCAGCCAUUGGGACUGCGUUAACAUGCAUUCUAAUCGCUUUCUCGUUAAGUCGCGGAAGGGAGGGGUGCCUAAUGAGUCUCGCCGAAAAAAAAAUGGCUGUGGUUGACGGCGAUGGAGUCGUGUACCAUAAAAUUUACCUGAGAACGACUACACCCGAUGACUUCUCAUUCAUAAGGAGGCCUGUUAAAUAUCAGCGAUCACUUCCAAAGGAAUUCAUAAUUAGAAAACAUCAUCCCGAGAUCCAAUGCAUUUGAUAGCCUUGAGGAUAAUUGCAGGCCACUUUAAGGAUUUUGGUGCCUUAUCUUUGCAUAAACCCCAACUGUGCACCAAUGUAUCAUGGUGGAACGUUCAGAAAUUGGAUAUCAAUUAUUGGACAUGUAUCAGUCCCUCGCUGUUGGAGUACAGACACUUUCAACUUUCUACUGACUGAAUAUUUGUCUCACUUUUUGGACAAAAGUCUGGAUAAUAAACAGAAGAGCUGCGGGUCCUACAGUGGAGAACAAUGGAUGAGGCAAGGGCUGUUUAGAAAAUCAGGCCUGUCUUGCCACUCAGUCACAUGACACACCAGGGGGGAUCAGGCACAAGUGCCCAAGGGAGGCCUGUAUUGAUCCAGACCAAAGUGUAUUUCGGCGGCAUUGUGGUUUGUGCUCAACUGAUGUACUCAGGGCUGAUUGAGGAUCAGGCCUGGUCUGCAGGCCAUAAUGAAGAGAAGUAAUGCAGGAUGUCAGACCACUGAUCACCUAUCUGGCCCACAAUCUAAAACCAAGAGAAUGAAGCCAAGUCUUUUAUUUCUGUUGAAUACCUUUGUGUAAUGGAAAUGUUCAUUUUAACACACACAUUUAAGGUGUACACCUCUGGCAUGACAUCAUGCUGGCUGUAGUGCCCUGUGUUGCCAACUAGUAUCUGAAACAUGGGAUUAAACGAGACACAAUGACAUAAAGACCUAUAAUACAAAGUUGGAGACAACAUUGGAUUGUGAUCGUGAUCGAAACUUUGUUCACCCAAAACUUGUCAAUAAUUAAUCAAGUUGUUCAAAACUCAUAUGACUUUCUAGAAGGAUUAUCUUCCAGAAGGUCCAAGCUGUUUUUCUCCAGUCUACAAAAGUGACUGACCACCAUUGUUAGCCUUGGUCCCCAUCACUUUUACACUUUUAUUGUAUGGAGAAAAUCAGCUUGGAUGCUCUGCUAAAUAUCUCCUUUUGUGUUCAAUGCAAGAAAGAAAGUCAUACAGAUUUGAAUCAAAAUGAGGAUGGCCUUUAAUUUUUGGCUGAACUAUUUCUUUAAGUGGUUACACAGACACACUGCAGGUUAUUAGAGUGAUUACAUUAGCCGGGCCUGAUUCAUUGCAGUAGGUGCUAAAUUAGGGAAAUUGAGGUGUGCACUUCAUUUACACACACCUAGAAGUUCAUAUCUUAAAUUUAGACUCAAACUUAGGCUGUGGGUUUCAUCUUUCAAUGAUGGAUGUGCUACAGCAAAUCAAAUAUUUUAUUGUGCAAUUUUAAUGGUGGAUACAUAGUAUAUUUUCAAAAAAGAUUGAUAUGUAUACU
Carassius auratus (goldfish) is the source of this 2336-nucleotide long non-coding RNA. RefSeq lists it as uncharacterized. The record is from RefSeq and is a predicted model, not a curated record. The transcript has 2 exons. NCBI's taxonomy places the organism in Eukaryota, Metazoa, Chordata, Actinopteri, Cypriniformes, Cyprinidae.